Molecule: ribosomal RNA, 477 nt
Filed under: Peptostreptococcus stomatis
Lineage: Bacteria; Bacillati; Bacillota; Clostridia; Peptostreptococcales; Peptostreptococcaceae
Description: bacterial SSU rRNA
Rfam family: Bacterial small subunit ribosomal RNA
Source: RNAcentral
GAUGAACGCUGGCGGCGUGCCUAACACAUGCAAGUCGAGCGAGGGUUUGCUCAGUAUUGAGUAUUCUAAGUCUAGAAUGUUCAAUUCUGAGCAAAACCAAGCGGCGGACGGGUGAGUAACGCGUGGGCAACCUGCCCUAUACACAUGGAUAACAUACUGAAAAGUUUACUAAUACAUGAUAAUAUAUAUUUGUGGCAUCGCAGAUAUAUCAAAGUGUUAGCGGUAUAGGAUGGACCCGCGUCUGAUUAGCUAGUUGGUGAGAUAACUGCCCACCAAGGCGACGAUCAGUAGCCGACCUGAGAGGGUGAUCGGCCACAUUGGAACUGAGACACGGUCCAAACUCCUACGGGAGGCAGCAGUGGGGAAUAUUGCACAAUGGGCGAAAGCCUGAUGCAGCAACGCCGCGUGAACGAUGAAGGUCUUCGGAUCGUAAAGUUCUGUUGCAGGGGAAGAUAAUGACGGUACCCUGUGAGGAAG